ACCUGAUGAAAUUUUGAUGACGAGUCUUAUUCGGGUUUCCGAUGACGAGAACAUUACUCUUUUACCAUUCAUGCAACUCCUGAAA
Molecule: small nucleolar RNA, 85 nt
Filed under: Dactylellina haptotyla CBS 200.50
Lineage: Eukaryota; Fungi; Ascomycota; Orbiliomycetes; Orbiliales; Orbiliaceae
Source: RNAcentral